Molecule: ribosomal RNA, 253 nt
Filed under: uncultured bacterium
Lineage: Bacteria
Description: partial 16S ribosomal RNA
Rfam family: Bacterial small subunit ribosomal RNA
Source: RNAcentral
UACGUAGGGUGCAAGCGUUGUCCGGAAUUAUUGGGCGUAAAGAGCUCGUAGGCGGUUUGUUGCGUCGGCUGUGAAAUCCCGAGGCUCAACCUCGGGUCUGCAGUCGAUACGAGCAAACUAGAGUGUUGCAGGGGAGACUGGAAUUCCUGGUGUAGCGGUGAAAUGCGCAGAUAUCAGGAGGAACACCGGUGGCGAAGGCGGGUCUCUGGGCAACAACUGACACUGAGGAGCGAAAGCGUGGGGAGCGAACAGG